Molecule: long non-coding RNA, 306 nt
Organism: Homarus americanus (American lobster)
Lineage: Eukaryota; Metazoa; Arthropoda; Malacostraca; Decapoda; Nephropidae
Exons: 4
Source: RefSeq, a predicted model, not a curated record
GCGGGUCGUGGUGCAGGUGACUCAACAAUUCCACAAGCAUAAUGCUCGGUGACAACUUGAGCAACAUCAACACAGGGAAAAUAAUACUGAUGAUGGUGAGCCUCGCCGUCGACACCGUCCUCCCGCUGCCUCCACACUCAGUGGCAGGAGAGUUGUCAGUCGCUGGUGGUGCUGUGGGCGCCGUGCUGGAGGCGGUGUCUCGGCCCACCUGCUCCCUGAUCCUCCUGACAGAUGGCACCACCUCACCCUCCACCAUCCUCAAGGAGGAGAGUGUAGUACGAGGGAGCCCUGGGUGUGGGGGUGUUC